Molecule: long non-coding RNA, 624 nt
Organism: Hydra vulgaris (swiftwater hydra)
Lineage: Eukaryota; Metazoa; Cnidaria; Hydrozoa; Anthoathecata; Hydridae
Source: RefSeq, a predicted model, not a curated record
GUCGAAUCUAUAUAACUGAAUUUACAAGCUUAACUGGUUUUGUUUAAGUUUAACUUUUUCAAAUUGUUAUUAUGUAGUUAAAUUAAAUUAAACUAAAAAAUCGGUUUUCUGGUGGUGCAAAGAUAAUCAACAAAAAUAAAAGUAGUUGCGGAAGAGAAAAAAGAUCCCUCAAGUAAAUUAGAGUGCUGCGAACUGGAUAUCUUUGACUGACUUGCUCUUACUUAUUUGGAAAUAGAGCCAUUGACUACAAUAGUGUUUUCUGAUGAAGAUAGUUUUUAUUGAAACACUUUUAUUGAAAGUAAAAUAAAGCCAAAUAUUCAAAACCUACUCUCUUAUUCCCAAAGUGUUAGGAGGUGUGUAAAAUUAGUUUCAAAUUGCAUCUAAUACUGUAUAUAUAAUUGAAGCCAGACAUAAAUCUUUACUAACAAAACUGAUUAGCUAAAAAUUGCAUCAUGGCUUUAUGAUGAAAGGUUAUCCGAAGAUUUAUUUGCUUAACUUUGUUACAUGCUUGAAAUAAAUAAUUAGUUUUGUAUUGUUUUUUAAAUGACUUGUUAAAUGAGUUAUUUGUAAAGGUUAUUCAAUACUCAAAUUAAUCUGAAAUUAUAUAUAAAGAUAUUCAUUUAA